CAGCUUUGCUUUAAUUUUUUAUUUAUUUAUUUUUGGGUGCAAUAUAUCUUUCCUUAUUGAACAGUGCUGUUACAAACCUCUACACCUGAUCCUGUCUUUCUAGACAGCAGCAAGCUUCGCCACCGCCUUCAAAGGAAGCUGGCAGAAGACAAAAAGCUCCUUCAGGAGAUAGAGAAAUACAAAGGUCUUGUACUAGACUCUGCCACUAACAUUGAUGUAGCUGUGGUGGAGCAUUCCCUGACUGGAGAGAGCACUCUCUAAUAUGGCCAUGGGAGGUUCAUGGCAGUGGCAAACAUUUCAAUCAAGAAACAACUGCAUGACCAAGUGCUGUUGACAGUGCGCUUGCAAGAGGAAAAAAGCAUUUUGGUGUUGGAGAUGGCACAACACUGCACAUGGUUGCAGAGCCUGCAGUGGUUCUGAAGAACAAGAUAGAUGAGGAGGACAAGGGAAAUGAGGGACUUUGUUGUCUCUUAAGAAGAAGACUGUCAGAGGUGUCAGAAAGGUUGCAGGUGGUUCUCCAACAGUACAAGACUGCUUUAGGCCUCAGUAGUUCAGACACCAGUGAGGAUGAAGAAAACACAAUUUAGAUGGAAGCUGCACAAAGGACUGUAUUGAAGGAAAUGGACUUGGCUAGUAUUUGUGUAUUUUUAGUAUGUUGAUAGAUUUACCACAUUAAAGUCUGUAUGCAUUCUAUAUUGUUGAAAAUUAAACCUGUCUGUAGUUGCCAACCAAUUCAGAAAGCACAUGAAUGCUCCUUGAAGAUGCACAAACCUCUUAGUAUAGGUGUACCAAUCUCUGCCAAAAGUUUUAACUUUGCACAUAUAUUACCAGAUGUAAUAUCAUGACAUGAUAUUUGGGUAGUGUAUUCAUACUCCUUUAAGACAGACCCCCCUUUGAUUGCGGUGACCCUGUGACCUUUCCUCUUGUGUAAAACUCAAGGAUAAAGUUUUGACUUGUAUACAACAAAUGUUAGGAACAGAUUCCUAAGUAAUUUGAGCACUCUCAAGCUUCCCAGGCAUUGAAUCCUGUCAGUUUUGUUGACCUCAUGACAUUCCCUGUAGCACAACCCUCAGACCAGAAUGUAAAGUUUGAUAUUGUCCAUUGAGCAGAUUUGCAAUGAAAUCUGGUAAGCAAAUUCAUGAAGAUGACUUUGGUGACCUCAUGAUGUUUCCUCUAUCACCACAUUUAGGUCGAAAUGUAAAAGCUUAUUCUUCAUUACUUGCAUUUUCCCCACAUUCGCUUAUUCUGCAGUGCAGCAGCAGAGGGUCUGUGCCUUUUUUGUCCGGAAGGGUAUUAUAGGAUAUAGAGGUAUGGUGAUUAUAACUGUUGUGUAACUUUAUAUUACUGCACCAUAGAAGAUAAACAUCAUAACAAACUCUUUCUUAAAGAUGGUUAUUUCAUUUAAAAUUGGUCUGUCACUGUCAGUUUUACAGGGUUUCGGUGGGUCCUUAAAAAGUUAAACCAGUUAUAUCGAAUUUAUGGCCAUAUAAAUGUCUUAAAUGGUAUAAGACAGUCCUAAUUUUGUUUUUUUUAAUGAUUUUUCUCGUCUCUUUUCUUAAAAGUAGUUGAAAUGUGAAGUUUAACAUU
Molecule: long non-coding RNA, 1587 nt
Organism: Cyprinus carpio (common carp)
Lineage: Eukaryota; Metazoa; Chordata; Actinopteri; Cypriniformes; Cyprinidae
Source: Ensembl